UCGCCAAUGUCAUUCCUCCUAUUCUGGCAUCCAAAAACACAGCAGGACGACAUUUUAGAAAAGUUGACAGAGCCUAGUCCCUCAGUCUUUCGCCUUUCGGUCACGGCCGCGGGCUUCCUCUUUUCCCUCCAGCUAAAGCUGUGAUGUCAUUCGUGACGUGGGUCAUGAAAGGGUCUAUUUGACUCAAAAAUGAAAUGAAAAAGCAAUAUUCCAAAAUGCAAUUUCAUUUUCUUCUUCAACACUGCUCAUUCUGUGACUAAAUGAAAAAGCAAAAGCAAACUCAGAAAUGCUUUUGCAUUUUCGUGUUCCCCCGCAAAAAGUGUCUCAUAAUUCAAAUGCAAAUGCAUUCUCAAGUGGCGCAGGAAAGUGACGUCACGGACCCCCCCUCGUUCUGGCCCCUUCUGCAUUUUACGGCAUUUUAAACAAUGCCGGCUCAUUGCGCUGCAUUUAAUUGCACAUUACGUCGAACGUUGGAGACAAGGAAACUUGGAAUAACUUUCCAUAGGUUUCCCAAAGACUUUCGGCUGAGGAGGAAGUCACAUAGUGUCAUAGAGUCCUACCCACCCACUUACUUAAAAAUACAGACAACUGAACAUCUGACUGUAGAAUAGUUUGCAAACAAGGUUAUUCACAGUUUAAGCAGUUUUGGUUCAUUAUCUACAGAUAUGCAUCAAAAUAGGAGUUUUGUUGAAGAAAGGUUGUAAGAAAUUUGAAGGAAGAAAACCUCUUGACCUCUUUUUCUGUUUUGAUUUUGAAGGUGAUGUGAUGUGUGCCGUUCAAGCUUGGUCAGAGAUGCUGUACCAUCAUUUAACGAAAGCUACCACCUUCUAGCUCUGAAAAACAAUGGCGGCCUACUGAUUCCAUCACAAGGCACAGUGAAGAGAGGGUGAUUCGCCAGGCAUCAACAAAACAAGCUCCAAAGGUGUCAACAGUCACACACAUCGUCCGAGAGGAGAUUGGAACGGAGGAUGUUUUUCUGCUUGGGGAGCACAUUGAAGAAACACAUCAUUCCAGCUUGUUGUCAUUGGUUGUGUUUGCCAAACUUACCCGUACCUUGACCUGCAGAAAGGGAGCACGAGAAAGAAGCUCGGCAAAACAGUCCUCUUUCAUCGGUUUUAGCUGUAAAACGUUUGUACAUGUGUAAAUGUGGUUUGGGGCAGGGAUGUCAUGUUCUUGUGUUAAUACAAUAACAUCAUCAUAAAACAACCAAGCCAUAAAAAUUUCAGACUUGUUUAUUAAAGUACUGUUUGAGUUCAUUUUCAAAGUAUUUUCCAUUUGGUUUUUCUUUGCCCAUUUCGUUUUGUGAAUAUGAAAUUUGCCCAGCAUGAUGAUAGUCUGCAACAAAAGGGAAAGGCUGGAAGGUAUGGAGGGAUUUUCAAACUGAAAGAGGAUGUGGCUCUCCUGGAGGCUGAUCCUGUGUCCAGUUUUGUUAUGGAUUAGGGUUUGUAUAUAAUUCCAGAGGUUUUUACUGUAUGAGCAUUGAUUAAAGA
This is a long non-coding RNA of Acanthochromis polyacanthus (spiny chromis), 1490 nucleotides long. RefSeq lists it as uncharacterized. The record is from RefSeq and is a predicted model, not a curated record. NCBI's taxonomy places the organism in Eukaryota, Metazoa, Chordata, Actinopteri, Pomacentridae. The transcript has 3 exons.